AAAUUCCUGGAAGAUGUCAGGGAUGUUUAGAAGAUAAAAACCCCUCCUAUUUAGGGGUUUUUUGUGUUUAGAAUCUGUGCCAAGGCAUUGGAGCUGCAGUGGGAAUCUGUUCCCUUUUUUC
Ficedula albicollis (Collared flycatcher) is the source of this 121-nucleotide non-coding RNA. The record is from Rfam. NCBI's taxonomy places the organism in Eukaryota, Metazoa, Chordata, Aves, Passeriformes, Muscicapidae.